Molecule: ribosomal RNA, 388 nt
Filed under: uncultured bacterium
Lineage: Bacteria
Description: bacterial SSU rRNA
Rfam family: Bacterial small subunit ribosomal RNA
Source: RNAcentral
GACGAACGCUGGCGGCGUGCUUAACACAUGCAAGUCGAGCGGUAAGGCCCUUUCGGGGGUACACGAGCGGCGAACGGGUGAGUAACACGUGGGUGACCUGCCCUCAGCUCUGGGAUAAGCCUGGGAAACCGGGUCUAAUACUGGAUAUGACCCCAUGACGCAUGUUGUGGGGUGGAAAGCCUUGUGCGGCUGAGGAUGGGCCCGCGGCCUAUCAGCUUGUUGGUGGGGUGAUGGCCUACCAAGGCGACGACGGGUAGCCGGCCUGAGAGGGCGACCGGCCACACUGGGACUGAGACACGGCCCAGACUCCUACGGGAGGCAGCAGUGGGGAAUCUUGCGCAAUGGGCGAAAGCCUGACGCAGCGACGCCGCGUGAGGGAUGACGGCCU